GCCUAAACCAGACUUCUUUGUAAGAUUUCAUCUUGGUGUGCCACUGCCUUCUACUAAAUGAAGCAAAGCAGAAAAUUAGGUGCUCUAGCACUUCCCAGGAUGCAAGUGGUUGCUGUCGUUUUCUGACUGCAUGAGACAGGCACUAAAACUGUCGGCGUGGUGAAACUGCACUGUGUUGGAUCUUCACUGAGCAUCUUUUUCUCUAUUUUCAUUUUUGUCGGCUGCAAUAUAAGGCUGUUCCUACUCAUAAAACUUAAACUGCAUCAUCACUUACAACUGGAAAACAACAAGGCCUAAAACAUAACUCAUAGGUGUAUGUUGAAGAGUAAUGUAGAACAGUUUUCUGCAAAAAGACACGAAAAGAACGAAAUAAGCAUUAGGUGCAAUUCUCAUUAAGCAGCUAUGCAGAUCAUCAGGCAUCUCACCCUAUCUGCCAAACUGUCCUCUGCUGAAGAAAAACCAAUGGUCCCAGGUGCUUGCACAGACAUCUCAGGUCCUUCAUGAACAAAC
This is a long non-coding RNA of Passer montanus (Eurasian tree sparrow), 510 nucleotides long. RefSeq lists it as uncharacterized. The transcript is spliced from 4 exons. Lineage: Eukaryota; Metazoa; Chordata; Aves; Passeriformes; Passeridae. The record is from RefSeq and is a predicted model, not a curated record.